RNAcentral lists this ribosomal RNA (546 nucleotides) under uncultured bacterium. RNAcentral describes it as "bacterial SSU rRNA". It matches the Rfam family "Bacterial small subunit ribosomal RNA", at positions 365 to 908 of the family's 1533-position model. The record is from RNAcentral.
UCCGCAAUGGACGAAAGUCUGACGGAGCGACGCCGCGUGCGGGAUGAAGGCCCUUGGGUUGUAAACCGCUGUCAGAGGGGAUGAAAUCUUCGGAGGUACUCCUCCGAAGUUGACAGAGCCUCAAAGGAAGCACGGGCUAAGUACGUGCCAGCAGCCGCGGUAACACGUACUGUGCGAACGUUAUUCGGAAUCACUGGGCUUAAAGGGUGCGUAGGCGGCGAUUCAAGUCAGAUGUGAAAUGCCUGAGCCCAACUGAGGCAUUGCGUUUGAAACUGAUUUGCUAGAGUGUCCUAGGGGUGUGCGGAACUGCCAGUGGAACGGUGAAAUGUGUUGAUAUUGGCAGGAACACCGGAGGCGAAGGCGGCACACUGGGGGAUAACUGACGCUGAGGCACGAAAGCCAAGGGAGCGAACGGGAUUAGAUACCCCGGUAGUCUUGGCCGUAAACGAUGAGUACUGGGCGGGAGGGGGUUUCCCCUUUCUGCCGUAGCGAAAGCGUUAAGUACUCCGCCUGGGGAGUAUGGUCGCAAGGCUGAAACUCAAAGGA